RNAcentral lists this long non-coding RNA (1265 nucleotides) under Homo sapiens (human). RNAcentral's name for it is "non-protein coding lnc-OR2K2-1:7". The record is from RNAcentral. Lineage: Eukaryota; Metazoa; Chordata; Mammalia; Primates; Hominidae.
ACCAUUUGCCUGAAGCUCCUCAUCCCCUUCCUUGUGCCUCCUCAGAAUUCUACCAGUGCACCUCAUUCAGACAUUCAUCAAGAAAAAGGCCAGCUGAAGGCAGACAGCCAACAAAACUCAGUCGUUAGCCACAGCCCUGGCUGUCCUCGUCCAUCAAGCCUGCCCAUUGUGAGCUUCCAUUCAUCUUACCUGUCUGUUAUGGAAGAGUGAAGUGGAAAAGGCAUGGAGGACUCAGAAGACCUGCUACCGAGAAGAGCCCCAUUGCAAUCAGAAGAUUAUUUAUGGAAAAAAGCAAAAUGGAGAUAUUUAAAAGACGGAGAGAGACAGCAGAAAGCUGCUUAAGAAAUUGCUUUGAGUCCACAGGAGGGAAGCACAAAGGAGAUGGGAUAAUAGUGUUAUACACUACAUGGGAACCCUGGCAGCCAGACAAUAAGAAGGCUAAACAACAACAACAACAACAACAACAAAAAUCACCUCUAUUUGGCCUACUACUCCCUCAAACAUUAAACUAUUUGCCUUGAAAAGAACAAAGAAAGUAUGAGACAAUGUCUUGCUCUGUUGGUCAGGCUGGAGAGCAGUGGCCCAAUCAUUGCACUGCAGCCUCGAACUCCUCAGCUCAAGUGAUCCUCUUGCCCUCAGCCCCCCAAGUAGCUCGGACUACAGGUAUGCACCACUAUACUUGGCUAAUUUUUAAUUUUUUUUGUAGAGACAGGGUUUUGCUAUGUUGCUCAGGCUGGUCUCAAACUCCUAGCCUCAAGUGAUCCUUCCACUUCAGCCUCCCAAAGUGCUGGGAUUAUAGAGACGAGCUACUGUGCCAGGCCAACAUAGGCUAGGUGAGGAGAGAAAAAAGGCACAAACUGGUCAUCUUAGACAUUGAGUGAAUGAACUGAAAAAAUACAGUUGAAUUGCCAGGAGGCUCUAAGGGCCCAUUUGAGAUGCGUGAUCAUCAAUGUAAAACUUGAUCAGUUUCUUUUUAUGGAACAUACUUACCCUAUUUUUCUGCCUUUUAUGAAGGAUUAUCAUAUCGUCAUUGCCUCUGGGAAGCACUGGAUAUUUCUGCCUCCAUCCCCUCCUCCCAUUCAUGCUUCUCAGUUUCUUUCCCCUGUUCCUUCAUUCCUGGGAAAGAAAUUACUGGAUUUCCCUUUUGACUUUCUGGAACAUCUUACACACAUCUUUAUCAUAACACUCUUAAAUAAACUAAUUAUUUCUUUACAUUUCUGCUUUUAUACUUACCCUCAUUGUGCAUGAGUUUCUAUUUCAGGUCC